RNAcentral lists this ribosomal RNA (1380 nucleotides) under Weissella confusa. Its description in RNAcentral is "bacterial SSU rRNA". It matches the Rfam family "Bacterial small subunit ribosomal RNA", at positions 65 to 1432 of the family's 1533-position model. Lineage: Bacteria; Bacillati; Bacillota; Bacilli; Lactobacillales; Lactobacillaceae. The record is from RNAcentral.
UGCUCAGAUAUGACGAUGGACAUUGCAAAGAGUGGCGAACGGGUGAGUAACACGUGGGAAACCUACCUCUUAGCAGGGGAUAACAUUUGGAAACAGAUGCUAAUACCGUAUAACAAUGACAACCGCAUGGUUGUUAUUUGAAAGAUGGUUCUGCUAUCACUAAGAGAUGGUCCCGCGGUGCAUUAGCUAGUUGGUAAGGUAAUGGCUUACCAAGGCGAUGAUGCAUAGCCGAGUUGAGAGACUGAUCGGCCACAAUGGGACUGAGACACGGCCCAUACUCCUACGGGAGGCAGCAGUAGGGAAUCUUCCACAAUGGGCGAAAGCCUGAUGGAGCAACGCCGCGUGUGUGAUGAAGGGUUUCGGCUCGUAAAACACUGUUGUAAGAGAAGAAUGACAUUGAGAGUAACUGUUCAAUGUGUGACGGUAUCUUACCAGAAAGGAACGGCUAAAUACGUGCCAGCAGCCGCGGUAAUACGUAUGUUCCAAGCGUUAUCCGGAUUUAUUGGGCGUAAAGCGAGCGCAGACGGUUAUUUAAGUCUGAAGUGAAAGCCCUCAGCUCAACUGAGGAAUUGCUUUGGAAACUGGAUGACUUGAGUGCAGUAGAGGAAAGUGGAACUCCAUGUGUAGCGGUGAAAUGCGUAGAUAUAUGGAAGAACACCAGUGGCGAAGGCGGCUUUCUGGACUGUAACUGACGUUGAGGCUCGAAAGUGUGGGUAGCAAACAGGAUUAGAUACCCUGGUAGUCCACACCGUAAACGAUGAGUGCUAGGUGUUUGAGGGUUUCCGCCCUUAAGUGCCGCAGCUAACGCAUUAAGCACUCCGCCUGGGGAGUACGACCGCAAGGUUGAAACUCAAAGGAAUUGACGGGGACCCGCACAAGCGGUGGAGCAUGUGGUUUAAUUCGAAGCAACGCGAAGAACCUUACCAGGUCUUGACAUCCCUUGACAACUCCAGAGAUGGAGCGUUCCCUUCGGGGACAAGGUGACAGGUGGUGCAUGGUUGUCGUCAGCUCGUGUCGUGAGAUGUUGGGUUAAGUCCCGCAACGAGCGCAACCCUUAUUACUAGUUGCCAGCAUUCAGUUGGGCACUCUAGUGAGACUGCCGGUGACAAACCGGAGGAAGGUGGGGAUGACGUCAAAUCAUCAUGCCCCUUAUGACCUGGGCUACACACGUGCUACAAUGGCGUAUACAACGAGUUGCCAACCCGCGAGGGUGAGCUAAUCUCUUAAAGUACGUCUCAGUUCGGAUUGUAGGCUGCAACUCGCCUACAUGAAGUCGGAAUCGCUAGUAAUCGCGGAUCAGCACGCCGCGGUGAAUACGUUCCCGGGUCUUGUACACACCGCCCGUCACACCAUGAGAGUUUGUAACACCCAAAGCCGGUG